RNAcentral lists this ribosomal RNA (406 nucleotides) under uncultured bacterium. RNAcentral describes it as "partial 16S ribosomal RNA". It matches the Rfam family "Bacterial small subunit ribosomal RNA", at positions 30 to 526 of the family's 1533-position model. The record is from RNAcentral.
AUUGAACGCUGGCGGCAGGCCUAACACAUGCAAGUCGAACGAGUGGCGGACGGGUGAGUAAUGUCUGGGAAAGUGCCUUAUGGAGGGGGAUAACUAUUGGAAAAGGUAGCUAAUACCGCAUACCAUCAGAUGGGCCCAGAUGGGAUUAGCUUGUUGGGGGGGUAACGGCUCACCUAGGCGACGAUCCCUAGCUGGUCUGAGAGGAUGACCAGCCACACUGGGACUGAGCCACGGUCCAGACUCCUACGGGAGGCAGCAGUGGGGAAUAUUGCACAAUGGGCGCAAGCCUGAUGCAGCCAUGCCGCGUGUAUGAAGAAGGCCUUCGGGUUGUAAAGUACUUUUAGCGGGGAGGCGUUACCCGAAGAAGAAGCACCGGCUAACUCCGUGCCAGCAGCCGCGGUAAUAC